RNAcentral lists this long non-coding RNA (1477 nucleotides) under Sparus aurata (gilthead seabream). Its description in RNAcentral is "lncRNA (ENSSAUG00010000104.1)". The record is from RNAcentral. Lineage: Eukaryota; Metazoa; Chordata; Actinopteri; Spariformes; Sparidae.
AUGUUUGUCCGUUUCUGUCUCAGGACGUCCUGUAGUUUGUCUCUGACCUCUGACACAGCCGCUGUCACAUCCUCAAAGUACCUCAGAGGACGGAUGCUGAUGCUGGAUGAGCGUGUGGACUCACUGAGUGCCGACAUUGCGAUUUAUAACCGCCACCUCUCGCCGAAGCACCUUCACGUCUUUCGCCCUGUCUCGGAUUCUCUGCUGGAUGUUUCGUCGACUCGCCUCGAGCUCUCUCUGCCUCUCGGUCCUCUCUGCUGCAGCUGAAACUGUGUCGUGGCCUUUGUGUUGAUCCAUGGAGCAGAGAUAACAGAUGCACUGCUGAUCAGUACGGCAGUAGAUCUUCAUCACCUCGUCGUGACGGGAGCAGAUGUUCUCCUGGAGCUUCUCGGAGGGAUUCACCAGCUUGUGGUUUUUAAAUGUCAGUGAUUCAUAAUGAGGCUGGAGGUGUCCUUCGCAGAAAGACGCCAGGCAGACCACACAGGACUUGAGGGCUUUCAGUUUUCUCCCAGUGCAGAAAUCACAGGCUACAUCUUCGGGUCCAGCGUAGCGGCGAUCAGAAGGAGCAGCUUGGAGUCCAGUCCAGUCCUUCUUCAGCUCCUCCACUAACUCUGCUAACAUGGUGUUUUUCAGCAGGACAGGCCUCUGCGUGAAGGUCUUCCUGCACUGAGGGCAGCUGUGGAUUCGCUUCGCUUCCUCCGUGUCCCAGUGGGAUUCAAUACAGGUCAUGCAGUAGUUGUGUCCACAGGGAAUAGUCACCGGAUCCUUCAGUAGGUCCAAACAGAUCGAACAAGAAAUCAUUUCCCCGUCCAGCCCGAGUCCUUUCUGCGCCAUUUCACCUUUUUGGGUAGCAGCAGCUGACUGAGUUUUACUUCUUUUAGAGCUUAAACUAGUUUGAGUUUUGAUCUAAUAGCCGUGUACGUGGGACACUGCUGCUCUUCACUGCACGCUGGUUCCUCAAACUGUGGAUGUGAUGAGGAGGGAACAGGGAAAUAUAUGCUGUGUUUGAGAUAAGAGAAAGGAGGGAGUGGCUGUCCACCUUUGACCCAUCCCAGGGACAGGAGCAGCUCUGUGAACCCGACCUUUAUUUCCUCAUUAGACUCACUUAAAACCUCAUUACAGUUUUUAUCAGCAAUGAAAAUAAAAACAAACACUGACACUGAUGAUAAAUGUAAUAAAAUGUGAAUACUGGAUGCAAUAAUCAGUCGGCCUGAUACUUGCAGUACUGACUGUGAGUGAAUUUAAAAUAUACUUCUAUUGAAGCACUGUUUUAGUGACUUCUGCUUUUACCAAAGUAAACAUUGUGUCUUUACUGCCUGGUUCUGAGGAAGUCCAAUACUCAAGUCCAGAGUGUCUUCAUGGGUGAGACUGGAUUAAAUGUUGAGCUGAAGUCAACAAACAGAGCUGCUGCAGGUUCUUGAUUAAUAUAAACCUGCUGGAGAGGAACCAGGACUUAGACUCUGUCAUCUGUUUUUGU